GGUGGGGUUCCCGAGCGGUCAAAGGGAACAGACUGUAAAUCUGUCGUCAAAUGGCUUCGGAGGUUCAAAUCCUCCCCCCACCACCA
This 86-nucleotide transfer RNA is filed under the name Desulfobacteraceae bacterium IS3. RNAcentral describes it as "tRNA-Tyr". It matches the Rfam family "tRNA". From Rfam's summary of the family: Transfer RNA (tRNA) molecules are approximately 80 nucleotides in length. Their secondary structure includes four short double-helical elements and three loops (D, anti-codon, and T loops). Lineage: Bacteria; Pseudomonadati; Thermodesulfobacteriota; Desulfobacteria; Desulfobacterales; Desulfobacteraceae. The record is from RNAcentral.